This 24-nucleotide non-coding RNA is filed under the name Rattus norvegicus (Norway rat). The record is from RNAcentral. Lineage: Eukaryota; Metazoa; Chordata; Mammalia; Rodentia; Muridae.
UGAUAGCCCUGUUAUUCUAUGUUC